RNAcentral lists this ribosomal RNA (440 nucleotides) under uncultured bacterium. RNAcentral describes it as "partial 16S ribosomal RNA". It matches the Rfam family "Bacterial small subunit ribosomal RNA", at positions 338 to 795 of the family's 1533-position model. The record is from RNAcentral.
CCUACGGGUGACAGCAGUAGGGAAUAUUGCUCAAUGGGGGAAACCCUGAAGCAGCAACGCCGCGUGGAGGAUGAAGGUUUUCGGAUUGUAAACUCCUUUUGUUAGAGAAGAUAAUGACGGUAUCUAACGAAUAAGCACCGGCUAACUCCGUGCCAGCAGCCGCGGUAAUACGGAGGGUGCAAGCGUUACUCGGAAUCACUGGGCGUAAAGGGAGUGUAGGCGGAUAUGUAAGAUAGCGGUGAAAUGCCGGGGCUCAACCCCGGAACUGCCAUUAUGACUAUGUAUCUAGAGUAAUGGAGAGGAUAGCGGAAUACCCAGUGUAGAGGUGAAAUUCGUAGAUAUUGGGUAGAACACCGGUGGCGAAGGCGGCUAUCUGGCCAUUUACUGACGCUGAGGCUCGAAAGCAUGGGGAUCAAACAGGAUUAGAUACCCCUGUAGUC